GUGUUUGAUUCAGCAGCACAAAUAGAAUGAUACAGAGACUAGCAUAGCCCCUGAGCAAGGAAGACAUGCAAAAUCCUGCUCACUUUU
Molecule: small nuclear RNA, 87 nt
Filed under: Cavia porcellus (domestic guinea pig)
Lineage: Eukaryota; Metazoa; Chordata; Mammalia; Rodentia; Caviidae
Source: RNAcentral